AACGCUAGCUACAGGCUUAACACAUGCAAGUCGAGGGGCAGCAUGAUUGAAGCUUGCUUCAAUUGAUGGCGACCGGCGCACGGGUGCGUAACGCGUAUCCAAUCUACCCAUGGCUCAGGGAUAGCCCAUCGAAAGAUGGAUUAAUACCUGAUGGUUUCACCGUAUCGCAUGUUGUGGUGAAUAAAGAUUUAUCGGCGAUGGAUGGGGAUGCGACUGAUUAGGUAGUAGGCGGGGUAACGGCCCACCUAGCCGACGAUCAGUAGGGGUUCUGAGAGGAAGGUCCCCCACACUGGAACUGAGACACGGUCCAGACUCCUACGGGAGGCAGCAGUGAGGAAUAUUGGUCAAUGGGCGCGAGCCUGAACCAGCCAAGUAGCGUGAGGGAUGACUGCCCUAUGGGUUGUAAACCUCUUUUGUUUGGGAAUAAAGUCAGGGACGCGUCCCUGUUUGUAUGUACCUUUCGAAUAAGCAUCGGCUAAUUCCGUGCCAGCAGCCGCGGUAAUACGGAAGAUGCGAGCGUUAUCCGGAUUUAUUGGGUUUAAAGGGAGCGUAGGCGGACUGUUAGGUCUGUGCUCAAAUGUCAGGGCCCAACCUUGGCAUGCCAUGGAAACCGGCGGUCUUGAAUACACGCAAGGCAGAUGGAAUU
Molecule: ribosomal RNA, 646 nt
Filed under: uncultured bacterium
Lineage: Bacteria
Description: bacterial SSU rRNA
Rfam family: Bacterial small subunit ribosomal RNA
Source: RNAcentral